Molecule: ribosomal RNA, 460 nt
Filed under: uncultured bacterium
Lineage: Bacteria
Description: partial 16S ribosomal RNA
Rfam family: Bacterial small subunit ribosomal RNA
Source: RNAcentral
CCUACGGGAGGCAGCAGUGAGGAAUAUUGGUCAAUGGCCGUAAGGCUGAACCAGCCAAGUAGCGUGAGGGAAGACUGCCCUAUGGGUUGUAAACCUCUUUUAUGCGGGGAUAAAGGUGUCCACGUGUGGAUGUUUGCAGGUACCGCAUGAAUAAGGACCGGCUAAUUCCGUGCCAGCAGCAGCGGUAAUAGGGAGGAUCCGAGCGUUAUCCGGAUUUAUUGGGUUUAAAGGGAGCGUAGAUGGGUUGUUAAGUCAGUUGUGAAAGUUUGCGGCUUAACAGUAAAAUUGCAAUUGAUACUGGCAGUCUUGAGUACAGUUGAGGUAGGCGGAAUUCGUGGUGUAGCGGUGAAAUGCUUAGAUAUCACGAAGAACCCCGAUUGCGAAGGCAGCUUACUAAACUGUGACUGACAUUGAUGCUCGAAAGCGUGGGUAUCAAACAGGAUUAGAUACCCUUGUAGUC